AUUGAACGCUGGCGGCAGGCCUAACACAUGCAAGUCGAGCGGAUGAAGGGAGCUUGCUCCUGGAUUCAGCGGCGAACGGGUGAGUAAUGCCUAGGAAUCUGCCUGGUAGUGGGGGAUAACGUCCGGAAACGGGCGCUAAUACCGCAUACGUCCUGAGGGAGAAAGUGGGGGAUCUUCGGACCUCACGCUAUCAGAUGAGCCUAGGUCGGAUUAGCUAGUUGGUGGGGUAAAGGCCUACCAAGGCGACGAUCCGUAACUGGUCUGAGAGGAUGAUCAGUCACACUGGAACUGAGACACGGUCCAGACUCCUACGGGAGGCAGCAGUGGGGAAUAUUGGACAAUGGGCGAAAGCCUGAUCCAGCCAUGCCGCGUGUGUGAAGAAGGUCUUCGGAUUGUAAAGCACCUUAAGUUGGGAGGAAGGGCAGUAAGUUAAUACCUUGCUGUUUUGACGUUACCAACAGAAUAAGCACCGGCUAACUUCGUG
RNAcentral lists this ribosomal RNA (484 nucleotides) under uncultured bacterium. Its description in RNAcentral is "partial 16S ribosomal RNA". It matches the Rfam family "Bacterial small subunit ribosomal RNA", at positions 30 to 507 of the family's 1533-position model. The record is from RNAcentral.